This 377-nucleotide unclassified non-coding RNA is filed under the name uncultured Parachlamydiaceae bacterium. RNAcentral describes it as "contains 16S-23S intergenic spacer region". The record is from RNAcentral. Lineage: Bacteria; Pseudomonadati; Chlamydiota; Chlamydiia; Parachlamydiales; Parachlamydiaceae.
UCCCGGUUAACCCGGGCAGUCUCAUUAGAGUUCCCACCUAAAAUGUUGGCAACUAAUGAUAAGGGUUGCGCUCGUUGCUGGACUUAACCAAACACCUCACGGCACGAGCUGACGACAGCCAUGCAGCACCUGUGCACAGGCCCCGAAGGGCUAUAUUGUUUCCAACAUAUUCCUGUGCAUGUCAAGCCUGGGUAAGGUUCUUCGCGUUGCAUCGAAUUAAACCACAUGCUCCACUGCUUGUGCGGGUCCCCGUCAAUUCUUUUGAGUUUCACCCUUGCGAGCGUACUCCCCAGGCGGUAUACUUAUCGCGUUAGCUUCGGCACAACUGGGGUUGAGUCCAGUUACACCAAGUAUACAUCGUUUACGGCAAGGACUAC